UACGUAGGGGGCGAGCGUUGUCCGGAAUUAUUGGGCGUAAAGGGCGUGUAGGCGGCCUGUUAAGUCAGGGGUGAAAACCCGUGGCUCAACCACGGGGUUGCCUUUGAAACUGGCGGGCUUGAGUGCUCUAGAGGGCAGUGGAAUUCCCGGUGUAGCAGUGAAAUGCGUAGAGAUCGGGAGGAACACCAGUGGCGAAGGCGGCUGCCUGGGGAGUAACUGACGCUGAGGCGCGAAAGCUAGGGGAGCAAACAGG
This 253-nucleotide ribosomal RNA is filed under the name uncultured Symbiobacterium sp. RNAcentral's name for it is "partial 16S ribosomal RNA". It matches the Rfam family "Bacterial small subunit ribosomal RNA", at positions 524 to 776 of the family's 1533-position model. Lineage: Bacteria; Bacillati; Bacillota; Clostridia; Eubacteriales; Symbiobacteriaceae. The record is from RNAcentral.